UACGAAGGGGGCUAGCGUUGUUCGGAAUCACUGGGCGUAAAGCGCACGUAGGCGGAUCUUUAAGUCAGGGGUGAAAUCCCGAGGCUCAACCUCGGAACUGCCUUUGAUACUGGGGAUCUCGAGUCCGGGAGAGGUGAGUGGAACUGCGAGUGUAGAGGUGAAAUUCGUAGAUAUUCGCAAGAACACCAGUGGCGAAGGCGGCUCACUGGCCCGGUACUGACGCUGAGGUGCGAAAGCGUGGGGAGCAAGCAGG
This 253-nucleotide ribosomal RNA is filed under the name uncultured bacterium. RNAcentral describes it as "partial 16S ribosomal RNA". It matches the Rfam family "Bacterial small subunit ribosomal RNA", at positions 524 to 776 of the family's 1533-position model. The record is from RNAcentral.